AUUGAACGCUGGCGGCAGGCCUAACACAUGCAAGUCGAGCGGAUGAAGGGAGCUUGCUCCUGGAUUCAGCGGCGGACGGGUGAGUAAUGCUUAGGAAUCUGCCUGGUAGUGGGGGAUAACGUCCGGAAACGGGCGCUAAUACCGCAUACGUCCUGAGGGAGAAAGUGGGGGAUCUUCGGACCUCACGCUAUCAGAUGAGCCUAGGUCGGAUUAGCUAGUUGGUGGGGUAAAGGCCUACCAAGGUGACGAUCCGUAACUGGUCUGAGAGGAUGAUCAGUCACACUGGAACUGAGACACGGUCCAGACUCCUACGGGAGGCAGCAGUGGGGAAUAUUGGACAAUGGGCGAAAGCCUGAUCCAGCCAUGCCGCGUGUGUGAAGAAGGUCUUCGGAUUGUAAAGCACUUUAAGUUGGGAGGAAGGGCAGUAAGUUAAUACCUUGCUGUUUUGACGUUACCAACAGAAUAAGCACCGGCUAACUUCGUG
RNAcentral lists this ribosomal RNA (484 nucleotides) under uncultured bacterium. RNAcentral describes it as "partial 16S ribosomal RNA". It matches the Rfam family "Bacterial small subunit ribosomal RNA", at positions 30 to 507 of the family's 1533-position model. The record is from RNAcentral.